AGAGAGAGACAUGCGCGCAUAUCAAUAAGCGGAGGAAAAGAAACUAACAAGGAUUCCCUUAGUAACGGCGAGUGAAGCGGGAAGAGCUCAAAUUUGAAAUCUUCAAGGUUUUACCUUGACGAAUUGUAGUUUAAAGAAGUGUUUUCUGCUGGAGUUUUGGUAAAAGUUCUUUGGAAUAGGACAUCAUAGAGGGUGAGAAUCCCGUAUUUGACCAUUAUUUUCAGCUUUGUGAUACACUUUCAAAGAGUCGGAUUGUUUGGGAACGCAGUCCAAAAUGGGUGGUAAAUUUCAUCUAAAGCUAAAUAUUGGCGAGAGACCGAUAGCGAACAAGUACCGUGAGGGAAAGAUGAAAAGAACUUUGAAAAGAGAGUUAAACAGUACGUGAAAUUGUCAAAAGGGAAGCGUUUGACACCAGUGUUGUUUUCUCGAAAAUCAAUUAAAAAUGGCUCGAUUUUGUAUUGCUUGAGACCUUAAAAGCUCACUGUACAUUUUUCGUGUCUUUUUUAAUGCACUUUUCGUUUAACAAGUCAACAUCAGUUUCUUUUGUUGUAAAAGGGUCAUUGGAAGGUGGCUUUCUUUUCGGAGAAAGUGUUUAUAGCCUUUGGCCUCUGCAAUCGGAGAGACUGAGGUCUGCAGCGUAGACUCUUCGGGGUUAGAUACAUUUGUGCUAAGUUAUAGCUUUUUAUAGACAACUUGUUGACUAUAAUUAGUCUUGUAGCUUACUCGCUUAUGCUAUUUUACCUACGCUUAGGAUGUUGAGUCGUAGAGCACGCAG
Molecule: ribosomal RNA, 775 nt
Filed under: uncultured Neocallimastigales
Lineage: Eukaryota; Fungi; Neocallimastigomycota; Neocallimastigomycetes; Neocallimastigales
Description: partial large subunit ribosomal RNA
Rfam family: Eukaryotic large subunit ribosomal RNA
Source: RNAcentral